UUAAACUGCUUCCUAUUUGUAUGAAAACAAUAGGUAUUGUAAUCAUUUUUAUGAGAUUGUUAAAAACAAGCUUGUUGCGAACUGCCCGCUGAAAGUCAACGAGAAGUUAGUUUCAUUUAAUGAAAUAUUAUUUUUAAACUAUGUCGGUGACUAGAAUAAGACCAGAAGUGCCGGAAGAACUUCCAAAACUUUUGCAUGAUUUUAGUUAUGCAGUCAUAAAAAAUAACCCAACCGAUAUCAUUAGUUUUGCUGCAGACUUUUUCCAGCAAUUGUAUGAUGAAAGAGAAGGACAAUCAACUGAUAAACCAAAAGGUUCCCAAGAAAACUUGCAGAUGAAGGAUCAAAAUGAUUAAUCAAAAAAGAUAAUAUCAACAAAUAAAGAUAAAGUAAUACUCCAAAAUUGUUAAACAAAUAAAGAUGUAAGGAAAUGGAUUUGUCCGAAAAUAAAAUUAUUAUUAUUCCACUUUAUUAUCAAAUUACAUACAA
Molecule: long non-coding RNA, 486 nt
Organism: Uloborus diversus
Lineage: Eukaryota; Metazoa; Arthropoda; Arachnida; Araneae; Uloboridae
Exons: 3
Source: RefSeq, a predicted model, not a curated record